Molecule: long non-coding RNA, 3280 nt
Filed under: Mus musculus (house mouse)
Lineage: Eukaryota; Metazoa; Chordata; Mammalia; Rodentia; Muridae
Description: long non-coding RNA chr13:58864098-58867378
Source: RNAcentral
GGCCAUAAACCAACGUGACCAAUUAGAGAUUAGUCUCAUUGACUGUGGGAUCGAGUCUUGGUGGGUAUUUAUGAGUUUCACAGUCAUAGCAUUCAGGUAACAACCAUCUUUAAAAUUGAUUCCUUUCUCCUUUAACCUCCUUAAAACUAUAGUAAAAAAAAAAAAGGAAAAAAAAAAAAGAAGAAAAAUAACAGUCGUAUCCCUGGUGGGGAAUUCCACAUUAAGGACAACAGGAGGUCAAGCUUGACCUUUGCCCUUCCAUUUGUUUGCAUUUCUGCUGCCAUCAUGGGGUGGCUGGCGAAGGUGGGCUCUCGCUAGUCUUUGUGGUGAGAGUUAAUCCCGUUUCACUGGUGGUAUUUUUGAUGACUAUAAGGGAAGGGUGGGAAGAAGUCUGAAUCACAGCCUGAGAGUCCCGUUCAUCACGAUGUCGAUAGCUUUCCUACACAGAGUGAGCAUGGCCGUCCUGAUGUCCCUUAGUGGUGUGUACCUCACUCAAGCUUAGCUUUCUCGGGAUGCUUUAGGGCGCAGGGAAUGAAGAAGACCGAGAGAAGUCAAAAUACAAACAAAAACAGCCCAAAAUUCUCUGUACUAAUGAUUUGCAAAGCUUGAAUCAGACCACCUGGGCAGUCUGUGUUCUUAUCCCAAGUUCUGAACAUGAGAAACCAUUGCCCGGUGUCAGACACUGCUUUUUCCAGAGCAGGGAGGGACAGCUGGAGGAACAGCUAUGGCACUCUGGCCCAGUGCACCACGUAUAAGAUCUGAGGGCGUGAGGUCGGAACCAGAGAGACCCAACAACCCAAGGUCCCCAUACAAUGUCUUUAGACCAUGGUCACUGACUCCAGGGACCCACCCAGGGUGAUGUGUGGAGUGAUAACUGCUAUCUGAUCCUUAGGCGUCCACAAGACUAGUGCCUUCCACAGAUAUUAGCUUCUGGAGACCUGGGCUGGUUUAGGAAAGGGAGAAAAACCCUUUCCCAGGCUCCAGGCACUGCACUCUGCCAUCUUGGAUCCAGCCUUUCAGAAGUGAACCUCGCUUCCCUAUGUAAGCUUUCUAGAAUCUUCCCUUUAAGGAGGUCAUAUAGCCAUUGUGUAUUUCUUAGAAAGGGUGGGUGAGGAUGAACUCCUUCUGAUGUCUAAAGUUGUUCCCUUUCUCUACUCCUUUUUGGAGUGGCGCACAGGUAGAUGUCAUAUGUCACAGACAUGUCAUUGUAAGCAGAACCAACCUCAUGGUUUUGUAUUAUCAUUUGCAGCAAAAUAUGCAGAGAUAUUUUGCUCUCAGUAUUUGGGUACCUAGUGAUUGCUUUGUUUUAUUGAAGAAUUCUUGUGCGUGAUUCCCACUUUUGACUCCAGUAAAAUGUUGCAAGGUGUAAACCAGGAUUUCCUUAUCCUUCCUUUGUGCACUAAACCUUUGAGGGCCCUGCUGAACUGUGGGUGCGAGGUAAAGGAUUCGGGAAGAGGCCCAUGAUCCUAAGUAGCUAGUGAGCUCCUGACAUGGCUGGUUCAUGGACCACUCUUUGAGUGGAGAGGAUGUUUUGUAAGGAUCGAUUAGAGGAACUAUUCAAACAUUCUUCCAGAGCACUCCACUAGGUCCUCAAGGAUAGCAGAUCGUAGUAACAAUUAAAGUGCAGACUAGACCGUGCUCUGACAGGCAUUCUUCUUGGGUUUGGCAACAAGUAGAAUGGAUUUGGUAGAUGGUUAUAAAGGUUUUAGAAAGGGAAGGAGAUGGAGACCAUGGCCACAUACACACACAUCUACAGCACGGGGUCAGCAGAGGGGUCUCCAGUGGCUGUGGUGUAUCCUAUUCAGCUUACAGGCCUGAAAUAAAGAUGAACUAGAUCCCCCAGUGGCUCUUGCUGGAAUUCAAUCCUACAUGCAGAAAAGCUCUCCACAAGCAGGCAGAUGUUCAUGGUGACAGUCGUGAGACCAGAAGCAAGCAUGGGCUUCUUUUUCAGGGAGGCCCUGAAAUGAUCACUAAGAGCUGAAAAAUAAACUAGUUUUUUGCCACAAGGCAGGGAUUUGGACCUGUCAUGACUAGCUUCUGACCAAAUAGAGCAAAUUUGGAGAACUCUAAGGGCCAGAUGUUUCUUAAGCGUGAGCACUCUGACUGGGGUCAGAUGGUCCCAUCCACGUCAGCACACCAGCAAUUCAAUAUGUCCGCCUUGGAGCAGACCGACAAGAACUCGAUGAUGACACUCUUAUUUUGAAGCUUGUGAUUCUUUAGGCGUUGCAGAGAGUGUCUCUCUGGCCCACUCAUCCAGGAAGACUGUCACAGCUCCAGGAUGCUCAUUCACACAGCAGUGGGAGUUGGUGACUUCUGCUCCCUUAUUCAGAAGCAGUUGUCUCCUAUGCAAAAACUCGCGUCAGGGACAAACUAUAAAUAUCGGAAGUGUUUUCCCACAGUUUCUCCCAGUGCUGUUUUGUCAAAAGAUUCAUGAUGUGGGGUGAACUGGCGCUCUCUCUGCUGCACUUAGAAAGGCCCCAAAGUAGCAGAUCUAGGGACGGAGUGUUCAAGUCAAGGAACACAGCGAGAGUAAAUUUCUCCUGGAGUUCCACAGAAGAGUAGAAUGUGAAGCCCAUGCUGUUUCAAUCACCAGGACCUGUUCCUUGUCCUGGGGCUAAAACUACAGAGCCAUAGAUUCUUUCUUGCCUUGAGAAACCAAGGAGAAGAUGGUUUGGGCACAAGCCUUAGAUAACCAGAGUAAUUAAGAUUCAUCCUUACAGUUCUUCUAAUCUCCAGAGUACUAAGGUUAAUUGGUUACACCUUCCUCGCUCAUCCUUGGGAAGACUCCAUUCUAACAGGAAAGAAGAGACUCAAAGCUCUCAGCAAAUUGGUGGCUGUCAGACUCUGGGCUUAGUCUCCUCGUCCCCCUCCGAGGGGGCAGCCUGGCCAGCAGAGGCUGCUGGCCACAUGUCAGAAGCAUGCUGAUCCAAAGCCAGGACUGUCCACUAGAGAAGAAGGAAUAUGCAAUUUGCUCUUCCUACUGCAAGGGUUUCUUUGGGAUCGUUUUAAAGAUCCUGGAAUCUGCAAGAUAACACUGAAGGAAAAGACUAGUUUGAGGAGUAUUUGAGGGGUUGGAGGCUAGAGGAUGGCUCAGCAAGCAGGUCAGUCCUCAGCACCUACAGUGUGGCUCACAACCAUCUGUCAUGCCAGUUUCAGGGGAUACGAGGCUCUCCUCUCACCUCCUCAAGCACCAUGGGUGAGGUGCACAGACAUGCAUGUAGGGCAAACAGUAAGACACGUAAAAUAAAUCAAUCUUAGAAAUUAAGACAUUAGCGAGCUU